RNAcentral lists this ribosomal RNA (326 nucleotides) under uncultured eukaryote. Its description in RNAcentral is "partial 18S ribosomal RNA". It matches the Rfam family "Eukaryotic small subunit ribosomal RNA", at positions 1470 to 1796 of the family's 1831-position model. The record is from RNAcentral.
CCCUUAGAUGUCCUGGGCUGCACGCGCGCUACACUGAUGCGUUCAUCGAGUUUAUAACCUUGCCUGGAAAGGUUGGGUAACCUUUUCAAAUCGCAUCGUGAUGGGGAUAGAUUAUUGCAAUUAUUAAUCUUCAACGAGGAAUUCCUAGUAAGCGCGAGUCAUCAGCUCGUGCUGAUUACGUCCCUGCCCUUUGUACACACCGCCCGUCGCUCCUACCGAUUGAGUGUUUCGGUGAAUAAUUCGGACUGCUGUGGAGUUCAGAUCCUGGACACCACAGCGGGAAGUCUAGUAAACCUCAACACUUAGAGGAAGGAGAAGUCGUAACA